Molecule: long non-coding RNA, 2798 nt
Filed under: Equus asinus (donkey)
Lineage: Eukaryota; Metazoa; Chordata; Mammalia; Perissodactyla; Equidae
Description: lncRNA (ENSEASG00005024971.1)
Source: RNAcentral
GUGCCUGGAAUUCGAACCCAGACCGUCCUCACGCGUUCUCUGUCCAGCAUCCAGGCCCCGCACCCGCUCCAGUCGGCUCCAUUCCCCUUGUCCAGUGGUCCAGCCAUCCAAGGACCCUGACUCCGCUCAGCCGACCCUAUUAAUAAAGAGGUUUUAUUGCCUGCAGGUGCUUCACGAUAUUGCGUGGGCUUCUAAUAAACGUCCAGUAAACCGCAGGUAGCGCCUCGGAGAGAGAUGGGCCCGUGCACCUGUCCACAAAGGGCCUCCACAUGCUGCAGCUCCGCCUUCCGUGGCCCAGCCCUGGCACGGUCGGCUCCGGAGACGAUCCUGCCCCUCGGGACGCCUGCAGGCAACUACUGUUUCACUUCCCUGAAGAAGCUCAUAAUAUUAUAAUUCAAGUGUCAGGACAGAUUAGGUUAAACGAACUGUGUAAUUCCCGAAGGAAAACAAACUUCAAAACGGACGCGGUUUGCCACGUAACAUGUCAUGGAUUGCAUUAGCGUCGCACGGGCAAUUCCAUCACCUAAUGUGCUAAAGUUGGCUCAAAUGUUCCCCACUCUGCAAGAAGCAGAUGAGUUCAUUACGAUUUCACCCUAAUAAAGAAAACCUGCUUGAUUUUGACAAGACAUCGACUUAUCUAAUCGUCUCCUAAAUAACAAAGCUGCUUCCCGCCCGUAAAACACUGCUCCCGAACACCGGCUUUACCUGGACUGCUUCUAAAUUAAUGAAAAACACUCGAAUCCAAAGAGAGCAAAAGAAGAAGGGGGGGGGGCGGUGGAGAGAUGGAAUUCAAGGGAUUUUUGAAAAUGUGACUGAUUUUGAAAAGAACGAGUUUUGAAAUGUUUACUUUGUGGUGGUUUGAAAUUUUUACAUCUUUCAACAAAGCGCGCGGGGAAGUGAAACCAUCUGAAAGGGCUUUUGAAAAGAGCGAUUCAGCACCAGCCGGACGAGGCUGCGGUUCCUUUAUCUCGGGCAAUCUGUGCCCAUCGUGCAGGAGGCAGGCCCAGCCCUUUCCCCCCUCCGCUCCGCCUGAGCUCUGAGGCUGCCUGGGCCUGGGCUUCAAAGCGCUCUUGGCCGAGCGUCCUGGGAGGGAAUCAGACACCGCACUCCGGGGACGCGCUGCCGGCUCGCUCUUAUCCUCGAGCACAACCGCCUGAUGCGGUCAUCUUGUUAGUCAUGGAAAGCCCGGGGUCUUUCUGUGUAUACCGCUUUCAGCACUUAUUAAGCAAAAAGUGGGAGGCUUUACGCAAAACUGCAAAAGAUGUUUUUUCUCCCCAGGGCCACAGCAGUUGGGGCCACGGCUUAUCCAUCAUUGCAAAGAUCUCUCCGAGAGAAAUGAAACAAGUCAGCUCUGCCCAGAGGGGGAGAAAGCUGAACGGCGCAUGGGGCCGCCCGUCCCAGGACCUUCUUGGCUUGGCUCCCGUGGAAGGGCGUGGGCUCCUUCGUCUGAAAACUGCCAAGGGAAUGCAGCCACACGGCUUAAGAGAAAUGGCGCAUCCCUGUGGUUUGGUGUCCAAGUGGACCAUUCAGGACGCUCAACUCAGAGUCCUUCCCAAACUUUGUCCAGCUCCAAGACCAACAGGGGGCUUCCACCGCAGAGGUCCAGACACCUGCACAGAUGUGUCCCUGCUGGGGGGAGGGGGUGGUGGUGAAGGUGGAAACACCAUUUCUAAGCAGCUCCUUAGAAGUGAACAAAUUCUGGUACCUCCGCAUUGUCUCGGGAACCUGCCUCUUUCCUGCCGUCUGUGCUCCCAUCCUCCCAGUGGGGGGGCUGUGGAUUCUCCAACAGGCCCAGGUAGAAUUCUGAGGUCAUCGGAGUCCCUCCUUCAAGCCUCAGUUCUAUCAGUAUCAAACUUCUGGGGAGACUUCAGGGGAAGCAGCAAGUUUGAGCCAAGAACGCAGAAUUGGAAUUCUCUGAUAAAUCCCUCCCAGCUGAGCCGGGAGGGUCUGUAGUUGGCUCAGCAAGCAGGGACGGCAGGAAGGGGCUGGUGCUGGGAAACUUCAAACAGACCUGGGGUGGCGGGGAGGCUGUGCUGAGGGGAGGAGGCCACCGACAGAGGGCUCAGUUAAUUAAAGAGAUGCGUGGGCACACCUAUAGGCUCAGCCCUCUAGGUGUUAAAGCGCCAGCAACUCAAGUUCUGUGCAGGGACUCCCUCCCCCUAGGGGGAGGCCUGGAAGCGGGGGAAGCCUCGAGCCACAUUUAGGAUGGACAUUUGCGGUCUUCUGGAAAGCCCCAGCCAGGGGUCCUUGGCCCUUCCACCAAGAGUUCCAAGGGAACCGAGACUGUUUAAAAGCCUCCUUAAGCAUCAAGGGGUCUCCUGUGUUGCAGGCACUGGGCUGGGCACAUCACCUGGGAGAGGUAGGGGUCAUCAUAUCUCCCAUUUUACAGAUGAGGGAAGUAAGGCUCAGAAGUCACCAGCUCAAGUGCCUAUGGCUGGUGUGUGGGAGAGGCCCGGCUGGAGCUAGGAUUCUCUGACUUAUGCCACUGGCUGGAGCUGGGGACAGGACAGAGACCAGCAAAGGACAGGUGACGGCUGCUUCCAUCUGGCCCUCACCUUGGCCUGCCCCUCACACUGUCCUUGACAUUCAAUCAGGUGCCAGUGAUGUCGGCCCAGAGGUUGGGGCUGGGCCUCCCCAGCUUCCCAGCGACAAAUGGUUCUCAUUUGAAAGGGAGGUUAUAAAAACACAUGCCCAGAGACACUGUCAGGGAACUGAGGAUUAAUCUCAUUUCAGUCAAAGACCAUUUCAAAUAUUUUGGGGGUGGAAUGGGGCGGGCAGCAGCCUGGGUUGGGAAGGAA